GACGAACGCUGGCGGCGUGCUUAACACAUGCAAGUCGUACGGUAAGGCCCUUUCGGGGGUACACGAGUGGCGAACGGGUGAGUAACACGUGAGUAACCUGCCCACAACUUUGGGAUAACGCUAGGAAACUGGUGCUAAUACUGGAUAUGUGCUCCUGCUGCAUGGUGGGGGUUGGAAGGCUCCGGCGGUUGUGGAUGGACUCGCGGCCUAUCAGCUUGUUGGUGGGGUAGUGGCCUACCAAGGCGGCGACGGGUAGCCGGCCUGAGAGGGUGACCGGCCACAUUGGGACUGAGAUACGGCCCAGACUCCUACGGGAGGCAGCAGUGGGGAAUAUUGCACAAUGGGCGCAAGCCUGAUGCAGCAACGCCGCGUGCGGGAUGACGGCCUUCGGGUUGUAAACCGCUUUCAGCAGGGACGAAGCUUUUUGUGACGGUACCUGCAGAAGAAGCACCGGCUAACUACGUG
This 465-nucleotide ribosomal RNA is filed under the name uncultured bacterium. RNAcentral's name for it is "partial 16S ribosomal RNA". It matches the Rfam family "Bacterial small subunit ribosomal RNA", at positions 28 to 507 of the family's 1533-position model. The record is from RNAcentral.